ACAUCAUAGCUGGGGAACAGGGAUUCACAAGACCCAGGCUGUUCCCUACAUAUUUUUCCUCCUCAGACAUCAGUUCAUCAGUCAAUCAAGUCAUGUGAGAGUGGAGGCCAUGUAUUCCGUAUUCUUGGGCACUCUCCUCCAAGGAGGAAAAGGCCAGGAGGUCCUGUUAGAGGAUGCACUCUGAGAGGCCGGGCUCCCUAAGGUGUGAGAGUUCUAACCAGCAGGUGUAGACUUUUCAGGAGUGAGGAAUGAGGCAGGCAUUCCAAACCUGGAGCUUCAUCACCUUUUGUUUCAUCUCAAGACAAUUCUGAGGGGCUGUUUUGGAACGUGUCUGGAAGGUGAACGUUGAAGAAGAGUGUGGGCUUUGAUGUGACUCAGAUAAGAUCUUUCAUGGGGAGGCAGGAAUUUAAUGCCCAGAAUCUGGGCUGGUGUCUUUGAGGUCAGUGGGUUGCCUUUUUGUAUCCAAGUCCAUUGUUACUAGGUUGGAGGCUGGAGAUUCUAAAUGGCUUCCAGACCGCCUCUCUGAUUCUCUUUUGGAGAUGGGGUCUGAAAAAGA
This 556-nucleotide long non-coding RNA is filed under the name Pongo abelii (Sumatran orangutan). Its description in RNAcentral is "lincRNA". Lineage: Eukaryota; Metazoa; Chordata; Mammalia; Primates; Hominidae. The record is from RNAcentral.